This 72-nucleotide transfer RNA is filed under the name Ailuropoda melanoleuca (giant panda). It matches the Rfam family "tRNA". From Rfam's summary of the family: Transfer RNA (tRNA) molecules are approximately 80 nucleotides in length. Lineage: Eukaryota; Metazoa; Chordata; Mammalia; Carnivora; Ursidae. The record is from Rfam by way of RNAcentral.
ACCUGGCUGGCUUGGUCAGUGGAGCAUGAGAUUCUUGAUCUAGGGACUGUAGGUUCAAGCCCACGUCAGGUA